This 441-nucleotide ribosomal RNA is filed under the name uncultured Pelagibacterales bacterium. RNAcentral describes it as "bacterial SSU rRNA". It matches the Rfam family "Bacterial small subunit ribosomal RNA", at positions 1077 to 1533 of the family's 1533-position model. Lineage: Bacteria; Pseudomonadati; Pseudomonadota; Alphaproteobacteria; Candidatus Pelagibacterales. The record is from RNAcentral.
UGGGUAGUCCGCACGAGCGCACCUUACUUUUAGUUGCUACCAUUCAGUUGGGCACUCUAAAAGAACUGCCAGUGAUAAGCUGGAGGAAGGUGGGGAUGACGUCAAGUCCUCAUGGCCCUUACGUGUUGGGCUACACACGUGCUACAAUGGUACUUACAACGGGAAGCAAAGAGGCGACUCUAAGCCAAUCCUAAAAAGGUACCUCAGUUCGGAUUGCACUCUGCAACUCGAGUGCAUGAAGCUGGAAUUGCUAGUAAUCGCGGAUCAGCGCGCCGCGGUGAAUACGUUCCCGGGUCUUGUACACACCGCCCGUCACACCAUGGAAGUUGGUUACACCUUAAGGCAAAGUGUAAAACCUUUGACUACGGUACGAUCAGCGACUGGGGUGAAGUCGUAACAAGGUAGCCGUAGGGGAACCUGCGGCUGGAUCACCUCCUUUCU